GGCGCAAUAGCCAAGUGGAGACGCGGCAGACUCUAAAUCUGUUCCCUUCAGCGGGCGUAGGCUUGAAACCUACUGGCGUCA
This 81-nucleotide transfer RNA is filed under the name Amanita jacksonii TRTC168611. RNAcentral describes it as "tRNA-Sup (CTA) (tRNA-Sup-CTA-3-1)". It matches the Rfam family "tRNA". From Rfam's summary of the family: Transfer RNA (tRNA) molecules are approximately 80 nucleotides in length. Their secondary structure includes four short double-helical elements and three loops (D, anti-codon, and T loops). The record is from RNAcentral. Lineage: Eukaryota; Fungi; Basidiomycota; Agaricomycetes; Agaricales; Amanitaceae.